GAGAGCAGAGGUGUUCCCCACCACUGCACCCUGCUGCUCCUAUCCCUGCUCAUCGGGGCUGCCCGGGGAUCUUCCCUCACCAGAUAUUUCCGUUUCCCAAGUCAUUAUUUGGGUUUCCAUGAGCUAAUACGCCAGACUCAAAGGUCACCGCUCCAGGCCAGCCCGAGCAGUCACGCGGCAGGUGAUUCACACCUGACAAACCCGUCCUGGCCAGAGCAGGAGGCAGCACUAAAACGUCCUCCACUGCCAGGACAGGAGCGGUGCCUUCCCCAUCCACACCCUGGCACAGUGCUGCUUACAUGAGGAUGGAGCAACUCGUGACAGGAUCUAUCAGCAGCUCCUGGGACACUGCUCCUGCCAGCAAGCCUCAGCUCUCUGCAUGGAGGAAAACUGCUGAUCCCACCUUCACAGAUGCAUUGGGGCUGCAGGGUGGUGACAAUCGAAAUACAGUUACCAGCCUAGAGCAGCACCAGGAGAAAUAACUUCAUCUAUAAAUACCAGGAGAAAGCUUCAUUUGGGUUUGGAUCAUCUCUCCA
Molecule: long non-coding RNA, 536 nt
Organism: Vidua chalybeata
Lineage: Eukaryota; Metazoa; Chordata; Aves; Passeriformes; Viduidae
Exons: 3
Source: RefSeq, a predicted model, not a curated record